This 501-nucleotide ribosomal RNA is filed under the name uncultured bacterium. RNAcentral's name for it is "partial 16S ribosomal RNA". It matches the Rfam family "Bacterial small subunit ribosomal RNA", at positions 30 to 523 of the family's 1533-position model. The record is from RNAcentral.
AUUGAACGCUGGCGGCAGGCUUAACACAUGCAAGUCGAGCGGGGGAAGGUAGCUUGCUACCGGACCUAGCGGCGGACGGGUGAGUAAUGCUUAGGAAUCUGCCUAUUAGUGGGGGACAACAUCUCGAAAGGGAUGCUAAUACCGCAUACGUCCUACGGGAGAAAGCAGGGGAGCUUCGGACCUUGCGCGAAUAGAUGAGCGUAAGUCGGAUUAGCUAGUUGGUGGGGUAAAGGCCUACAAAGGCGAAGAUCUGUAGCGGGUCUGAGAGGAUGAUCCGCCACACUGGGACUGAGACACGGCCCGGACUCCUACGGGAGGCAGCAGUGGGGAAUAUUGGACAAUGGGGGGAACCCUGAUCCAGCCAUGCCGCGUGUGUGAAGAAGGCCUUAUGGUUGUAAAGCACUUUAAGCGAGGAGGAGGCUACUCUAGUUAAUACCUAGGGAUAGUGGACGUUACUCGCAGAAUAAGCACCGGCUAACUCUGUGCCAGCAGCCGCCGUAA